UGGGGAAUCUUGCGCAAUGGCCGAAAGGCUGACGCAGCGACGCCGCGUGUGGGGUGACGGUCUUCGGAUUGUAAACCACUGUCGGGAGGGACGAAGUUCUGACGGUACCUCCAAAGGAAGCACCGGCUAACUCUGUGCCAGCAGCCGCGGUAAUACAGAGGGUGCGAGCGUUGUCCGGAAUCACUGGGCGUAAAGGGCGCGUAGGAGGCCUGGUAAGUCGGGGGUGAAGCGCUGCGGCUCAACCGCAGCAUUGCCUUCGAGACUGUCAGGCUGGGGCACGGUAGAGGCUGGUGGAAUUCCCGGUGUAGCGGUGGAAUGCGUAGAGAUCGGGAAGAACAUCGGUGGCGAAGGCGGCCAGCUGGGCCGUUGCUGACGCUGAGGCGCGACAGCGUGGGGAGCAAACA
This 404-nucleotide ribosomal RNA is filed under the name uncultured bacterium. RNAcentral's name for it is "bacterial SSU rRNA". It matches the Rfam family "Bacterial small subunit ribosomal RNA", at positions 355 to 774 of the family's 1533-position model. The record is from RNAcentral.